GGUAAAGUAAGUCAGUUGUCAAAUUUUUCGGCCUAACCGAAAGUCGGCAGCAGAUACUGCUUUGCUAGAGGGUGAAAGAGAGAAGUAGAAUUCUCGGAGUAGCGGUAAAAUGCGUAGAUCUCGAGAGGAACACCAAUGGCGAAAGCAGCUUCUUGGUUCAUUCCUGACGUUGAGGCACGAAAGCAUGGGGAGCAAACAGGAUUAGAUACCCUGGUAGUCCAUGCUGUAAACGAUGACCACUAGACGUUGGCUUUGCUUAGCAAGGUCAGUGUCGUAGCUAACGCGUUAAGUGGUCCGCCUGGGGACUACGGUCGCAAGACUAAAACUUAAAGGAAUUGACGGGGGUCCGCACAAGCGGUGGAACAUGUGGUUUAAUUCGACACUACGCGAGGAACCUUACCUAGGCUUGACAUGUAUUUGACCGCUGUAGAAAUACAGUUUUUCGGACUUUGUCCGAACAAAUACACAGGUGCUGCAUGGCUGUCGUCAGCUCGUGUCGUGAGAUGUCUGGCUAAGUCCUCUAACGAGCGCAACUCUUACUGUCAGUUGCUACUUCUUUAGAAGGCACUCUGACGGAACUGCCUGGGAAACCAGGAGGAAGGUGGGAAUGACGUCAAGUCAUCAUGGUCCUUAUGUCUAGGGCGACACACGUGUUACAAUGGCCGGUACAGAGGGCUGCAAAUUCGUAAGAAUGAGCUAAUCCCAUAAAGCCGGUCUAAGUUCGGAUUGAGGUCUGCAAUUCGACCUCAUGAA
RNAcentral lists this ribosomal RNA (753 nucleotides) under uncultured Candidatus Babelota bacterium. RNAcentral describes it as "bacterial SSU rRNA". It matches the Rfam family "Bacterial small subunit ribosomal RNA", at positions 577 to 1324 of the family's 1533-position model. The record is from RNAcentral.